CGCGUAGGCGGCCGGAGAAGUCGGAUGUGAAAGCCCGGGGCUCAACCUCGGAACGGCAUUCGAAACUUUUCGGCUGGAGAACGGAAGAGGAGAGUGGAAUACCCAGUGUAGAGGUGAAAUUCGUAGAUAUUGGGUGGAACACCGGUGGCGAAAGCGGCUCUCUGGUCCGGGUCUGACGCUGAGGCGCGAAAGCGUGGGGAGCAAACA
Molecule: ribosomal RNA, 207 nt
Filed under: uncultured bacterium
Lineage: Bacteria
Description: partial 16S ribosomal RNA
Rfam family: Bacterial small subunit ribosomal RNA
Source: RNAcentral